GAUGAUGAUGGGAAUGACGAUGAUUAUGACGGUAGGCAGAUAUUUCGCCAUUGCAGUAAAUAGAUAAGGCAAAUUAGUUGAGUUUUGCAAAGGCGCGUUAUUUUAUUGAAAUUGUAGUGAAUUCGGGGCGAGAACACUUCCAAAAAUCGGUUGUAAUUAUUAGCAAUACGCUGUGGCCAAUCCGAUCCGUGACAGAUACCUGGGAAUCACCGGUAAUAGGAAUAGGAAAGGUGUCCACAUUCCGGCGACAUUCGCUAUUCACACUCAAUCAAGUUAGGGUAACUGCACCCAUUAUCAUCCCAAGAUAGAAUUGGAAACCACUUCUUGUGAGUAUUUGUACUAGAAUAGAUUAAGAAUGUUAAUUAAAUGAUUAAAUAAAUUGCAGUUUUAAGCGUUGCUACAAAAUCUGAGCCGCUCUAAUAAUUUUGGUUUCCCUUCGGGAACAUUCUUAAAAAAGAAGUGACACCCGCGAAGUGAUUCCCGCGUAGUGAAAAGUGUCAAGUGAGGAGUGAAAACCUGCAGCAAGAUGGCUUCCGAUGCAGAAUCCACCCACGAUCAAACCAUCAUGGACCUGACGGCGACUCCGUGCGCCAUCUGUGGCCCGUCUACGCGCGACGAAGUGAUGGUCGGCUGUGACGGAUGCGCGGGAUGGUUCCACAUCCGUUGCGUGGGCAUUGAG
This is a long non-coding RNA of Aedes albopictus (Asian tiger mosquito), 679 nucleotides long. RefSeq lists it as uncharacterized. The record is from RefSeq and is a predicted model, not a curated record. Lineage: Eukaryota; Metazoa; Arthropoda; Insecta; Diptera; Culicidae. The transcript has 3 exons.